AUUACCCUGCUGUGUUUGUGAUGUUGUUAAAUAUUCUGUGCCAACACCAACAAAAUGGGCGUUUAAUUUUGAUUACGAUGCGAUAGGCAAACAGUUAGCCAAGGCAGACUAGUCAGUGCGAUGCCCCGCCUGCCAAAAGCAGGCGCAGAAUCAAAUCAGCACACCACAUGGCGGGGUUACU
RNAcentral lists this non-coding RNA (181 nucleotides) under Anaerolineaceae bacterium. RNAcentral describes it as "6S RNA". It matches the Rfam family "6S / SsrS RNA". Rfam says of the family: E. coli 6S RNA was the first non coding RNA to be sequenced, but its function was unknown until recently. It consists of 184 nucleotides that fold into an extended hairpin structure with a large single-stranded internal bulge. Lineage: Bacteria; Bacillati; Chloroflexota; Anaerolineae; Anaerolineales; Anaerolineaceae. The record is from RNAcentral. RNAcentral also lists the same sequence under 1 other name.